This 439-nucleotide ribosomal RNA is filed under the name uncultured bacterium. Its description in RNAcentral is "partial 16S ribosomal RNA". It matches the Rfam family "Bacterial small subunit ribosomal RNA", at positions 338 to 795 of the family's 1533-position model. The record is from RNAcentral.
CCUACGGGAGACUGCAGUGGGGAAUAUUGCACAAUGGGCGAAAGCCUGAUGCAGCAACGCCGCGUGAGGGAUGAAGGCCUUCGGGUUAUAAAGCUCUGUCCUCAAGGAAGCGAAUGACGGCACGUGAGGAGGAAGCCCCGGCGAACUACGUGCCAGCAGCCGUGGCAAUACGGAGGGGGCUAGCGUAAUCCGGAAUUACUGGGCGUAAGGGGUGUGUAGGUGGGUUCUUAAGUCAGCGGUAAAAGGCUGCGGCUCAACCGUAGUCAGCCGUUGAAAAGGGGAAUCUUGAGUGCAGGAGAGGAAAGUGGAAUUCGUAGUGUAGCGGUGAAAUGCGUAGAUAUUAGGAAGAACUCCAGUUGCGAAGGCGGCACUCUGGAGUGUAACUGACGCUGAGGCACGAAAGCGUGGGGAGCGAACAGGAUUAGAUACCCUAGUAGUC